AUUGAACGCUGGCGGCAUGCUUUACACAUGCAAGUCGAACGGUAACAGGCCUUAGGGUGCUGACGAGUGGCGAACGGGUGAGUAAUGCAUCGGAACGUACCCAGAGGUGGGGGAUAACUCAUCGAAAGCUUUGCUAAUACCGCAUACGAUCUGAGGAUGAAAGCGGGGGACCGAGAGGCCUUGUUUGGCUUGUCCCGUUUGUGUCGGCGGAUGUCGGAUUAGCUAGUUGGGGGGGUAAAGGCAUACCAAGGCGACGAUCCGUAGCUGGUCUGAGAGGACGACCAGCCACACGGGGACUGAGACACGGCCCAGACUCCUACGGGAGGCAGCAGUGGGGAAUUUUGGACAAUGGGCGCAAGCCUGAUCCAGCAAUGCCGCGUGCGGGAAGAAGGCCUUCGGGUUGUAAACCGCUUUUGGCAGGAACGAAACGGUGUCGGCUAAUACCGGGCGCUAAUGACGGUACCGGAAGAAUAAGCACCGGCUAACUACGUG
RNAcentral lists this ribosomal RNA (492 nucleotides) under uncultured bacterium. RNAcentral describes it as "partial 16S ribosomal RNA". It matches the Rfam family "Bacterial small subunit ribosomal RNA", at positions 30 to 507 of the family's 1533-position model. The record is from RNAcentral.